Molecule: unclassified non-coding RNA, 223 nt
Filed under: Hevea brasiliensis (rubber tree)
Lineage: Eukaryota; Viridiplantae; Streptophyta; Magnoliopsida; Malpighiales; Euphorbiaceae
Source: RNAcentral
CCUCCACCAAAUCCGCGACCUAUUCCGCUGCUGCCAUUGCCUCCACCAUGCAAAAACUCAGGCUUAUAAAGUUUGGGGCGAGGAAGAAGGCGUAGGGAAUGAUUUUGAGGAUCAGAAAAUGGGAAAGAAGCAUCAGGGCAAUUGAGAUUAGAGAUGCGAGAAUUCUGGGAAGAAGAACUUGAAUAUUGUCUAGCAAAAACAGAGCAUCGGAGUUGGGCCGCAG